Molecule: ribosomal RNA, 616 nt
Filed under: uncultured bacterium
Lineage: Bacteria
Description: bacterial SSU rRNA
Rfam family: Bacterial small subunit ribosomal RNA
Source: RNAcentral
GCAAGUGGAGCGACGAACCAGGGCUUGCCCUGGAGCAAAGCCGCGAACGGGUGAGUAACACGUGGGUAACCUACCCCAAUGACUGGGACAACCCGAGGAAACUCGGGCUAAUACCGGAUGUGCUCAGCGUCCAUCAGGACGGUGAGGAAAGGAAGCUUCGGCCUCCGCAUCGGGAGGGGCCCGCGGCCCAUUAGCUAGUUGGUGAGGUAACGGCUCACCAAGGCUGCAAUGGGUAGCUGGUCUGAGAGGACGAUCAGCCACACUGGGACUGAGACACGGCCCAGACUCCUACGGGAGGCAGCAGUGGGGAAUCUUGCGCAAUGCGCGAAAGCGUGACGCAGCAACGCCGCGUGGGGGAAGAAGGCUUUCGGGUCGUAAACCCCUUUCAGUAGGGACGAAGGUGUGGCGGUGAAUAGCCGUCCACACUGACGGUACCUGCAAAAGAAGCCCCGGCUAACUACGUGCCAGCAGCCGCGGUAAUACGUAGGGGGCUAGCGUUGUCCGGAAUUAUUGGGCGUAAAGAGCACGUAGGCGGCCCGGUUAGUCCGCUGUAAAAGUCAAAGGCUCAACCUUUGAAUGCCGGUGGAUACUGCCAGGCUAGAGUCCGGAAGAGGCG